Molecule: ribosomal RNA, 512 nt
Filed under: uncultured bacterium
Lineage: Bacteria
Description: partial 16S ribosomal RNA
Rfam family: Bacterial small subunit ribosomal RNA
Source: RNAcentral
GACGAACGCUGGCGGCGUGCCUAAUACAUGCAAGUUGAGCGGAUGGAAGGAAGCUUGCUUCCUAAAGUCAGCGGCGGACGGGUGAGUAACACGUGGGCAACCUGCCCCUAAGAUCGGGAUAACUUCGGGAAACCGGAGCUAAUACCGGAUAUGAUUAUGUCUCACAUGAGAUGUAAUGGAAAGACGGUUUCGGCUGUCACUUAGGGAUGGGCCCGCGGCGCAUUAGCUAGUUGGUGAGGUAACGGCUCACCAAGGCGACGAUGCGUAGCCGACCUGAGAGGGUGAUCGGCCACACUGGGACUGAGACACGGCCCAGACUCCUACGGGAGGCAGCAGUAGGGAAUCUUCCGCAAUGGACGAAAGUCUGACGGAGCAACGCCGCGUGAGUGAAGAAGGUUUUCGGAUCGUAAAACUCUGUUGUUAGGGAAGAACAAGUACCAUAGUAACUGAUGGUACCUUGACGGUACCUAACCGGAAAGCCACGGCUAACUACGUGCCAGCCGCCGCAGUAA